AACGAACGCUGGCGGCAUGCCUAACACAUGCAAGUCGAACGAGACCUUCGGGUCUAGUGGCGCACGGGUGCGUAACGCGUGGGAACCUGCCCUUAGGUUCGGAAUAACAGUUAGAAAUGACUGCUAAUACCGGAUAAUGUCUUCGGACCAAAGAUUUAUCGCCUUUGGAUGGGCCCGCGUAAGAUUAGGUAGUUGGUGGGGUAAUGGCCUACCAAACCGACGAUCUUUAGCUGGUCUGAGAGGAUGAUCAGCCACACUGGGACUGAGACACGGCCCAGACUCCUACGGGAGGCAGCAGUGGGGAAUAUUGGACAAUGGGCGAAAGCCUGAUCCAGCAAUGCCGCGUGAGUGAUGAAGGCCUUAGGGUUGUAAAGCUCUUUUACCAGGGAUGAUAAUGACAGUACCUGGAGAAUAAGCUCCGGCUAACUCCGUGCCAGCAGCCGCGGUAA
RNAcentral lists this ribosomal RNA (449 nucleotides) under uncultured bacterium. RNAcentral describes it as "partial 16S ribosomal RNA". It matches the Rfam family "Bacterial small subunit ribosomal RNA", at positions 29 to 523 of the family's 1533-position model. The record is from RNAcentral.